This 301-nucleotide ribosomal RNA is filed under the name uncultured bacterium. Its description in RNAcentral is "partial 16S ribosomal RNA". It matches the Rfam family "Bacterial small subunit ribosomal RNA", at positions 509 to 807 of the family's 1533-position model. The record is from RNAcentral.
CAGUCGCCGCGGGAAUACAGAGGAUGCAAGCGUUAUCCGGAAUGAUUGGGCGUAAAGCGUCUGUAGGUGGCUUUUCAAGUCCGCCGUCAAAUCCCAGGGCUCAACCCUGGACAGGCGGUGGAAACUACCAAGCUAGAGUACGGUAGGGGCAGAGGGAAUUUCCGGUGGAGCGGUGAAAUGCGUUGAGAUCGAAAAGAACACCAACGACGAAAGCACUCUGCUGGGUCGACACUGACACUGAGAGACGAAAGCUAGGGGAGCAAAUGGGAUUAGAUACCCCAGUAGUCCCUGUCUCUUAUAC